RNAcentral lists this non-coding RNA (64 nucleotides) under unclassified sequences. RNAcentral's name for it is "DUF3800-VIII RNA". It matches the Rfam family "DUF3800-VIII RNA". Rfam says of the family: Bacteroidetes, Cyanobacteria, Firmicutes, Planctomycetes (1 example), Proteobacteria, Tenericutes (1 example). Nearby to DUF3800 The record is from Rfam by way of RNAcentral.
UAAACCCUGCUGAACCGAAGUCUAACGCGCCGCGUCAGAUAUUUUUUAGGUGAAGCGGGGUUUA